AAGGUUUCCUGAGGAAGGCUCGUCCGCUCAGGGUUAGUCGGGACCUAAGCCGAGGCCGAAAGGCGUAGGCGAUGGACAACAGGUUGAUAUUCCUGUACCACCUCGUUAUCGUUUGAACGAUGGGGGGACGCAGGAGGAUAGGGUAAGCGCACUGUUGGAUAUGUGCGUCUAAGCAGUUAGGCUGGUAAAUAGGGAAAUCCGUUUACCGUGAAGGCUGAGCUGUGACAGCGAGGGAAAUAUAGUACCGAAGUUCCUGAUUCCACACUGCCAAGAAAAGCCUCUAGUGAGAUAACAGGUGCCCGUACCGCAAACCGACACAGGUAGGCGAGGAGAGAAUCCUAAGGUGAGCGAGAGAACUCUCGUUAAGGAACUCGGCAAAAUGACCCCGUAACUUCGGGAGAAGGGGUGCUUUUUAGGGUGAAUAGCCCUGAAGAGCCGCAGUGAAUAGGCCCAGGCGACUGUUUAGCAAAAACACAGGUCUCUGCGAAGCCGCAAGGCGAAGUAUAGGGGCUGACGCCUGCCCGGUGCUGGAAGGUUAAGAGGAGGGGUUAGCGCAAGCGAAGCUCUGAAUUGAAGCCCCAGUAAACGGCGGCCGUAACUAUAACGGUCCUAAGGUAGCGAAAUUCCUUGUCGGGUAAGUUCCGACCCGCACGAAAGGCGUAACGAUCUGGGCACUGUCUCAACGAGAGACUCGGUGAAAUUAUAGUACCUGUGAAGAUGCAGGUUACCCGCGACAGGACGGAAAGACCCCGUGGAGCUUUACUGUAGCCUGAUAUUGAAUUUUGGUACAGCUUGUACAGGAUAGGUAGGAGCCGUAGAAGCCGGAGCGCUAGCUUCGGUGGAGGCGUCGGUGGGAUACUACUCUGGCUGUAUUGAAAUUCUAACCCUCACCUCUGAUCGAGGUGGGAGACAGUGUCAGGUGGGCAGUUUGACUGGGGCGGUCGCCUCCUAAAGAGUAACGGAGGCGCCCAAAGGUUCCCUCAGAAUGGUUGGAAAUCAUUCGUAGAGUGUAAAGGCACAAGGGAGCUUGACUGCGAGACCUACAAGUCGAGCAGGGACGAAAGUCGGGCUUAGUGAUCCGGUGGUUCCGCAUGGAAGGGCCAUCGCUCAACGGAUAAAAGCUACCCCGGGGAUAACAGGCUUAUCUCCCCCAAGAGUCCACAUCGACGGGGAGGUUUGGCACCUCGAUGUCGGCUCAUCGCAUCCUGGGGCUGUAGUCGGUCCCAAGGGUUGGGCUGUUCGCCCAUUAAAGCGGUACGCGAGCUGGGUUCAGAACGUCGUGAGACAGUUCGGUCCCUAUCCGUCGUGGGCGCAGGAAAUUUGAGAGGAGCUGUCCUUAGUACGAGAGGACCGGGAUGGACGCACCGCUGGUGUACCAGUUGUUCUGCCAAGAGCAUCGCUGGGUAGCUAUGUGCGGAAGGGAUAAGUGCUGAAAGCAUCUAAGCAUGAAGCCCCCCUCGAGAUGAGAUUUCCCAUAGCGUAAGCUAGU
Molecule: ribosomal RNA, 1489 nt
Filed under: Bacillus phocaeensis
Lineage: Bacteria; Bacillati; Bacillota; Bacilli; Caryophanales; Bacillaceae
Description: bacterial LSU rRNA
Rfam family: Bacterial large subunit ribosomal RNA
Source: RNAcentral